AUCACCUUGGCAGAUGAAUGUAUUGGAUUUAGGAUCCUUUUAUAUAGUGGAAUACUAUAGGUGAUG
This 66-nucleotide transfer RNA is filed under the name Heterocarpus ensifer. RNAcentral describes it as "tRNA-Leu". Lineage: Eukaryota; Metazoa; Arthropoda; Malacostraca; Decapoda; Pandalidae. The record is from RNAcentral. RNAcentral also lists the same sequence under 2 other names.